UAUACAGCGAAACUGCGAAUGGCUCAUUAUAUAAGUUAUCGUUUAUUUGAUAGUGCCUUACUACUUGGAUAACCGUGGUAAUUCUGGAGCUAAUACAUGCUAAAAACCCCGACUUCGGAAGGGGUGUAUUUAUUAGAUACAAAACCAAUGCCCUUCGGGGCUCUUUGGUGAUUCAUGAUAACUAUACGAAUCGCACGGCCUUGCGCCGGCGAUGGUUCAUUCAAAUUUCUUCCCUAUCAACUUUCGAUGUUUGGGUAUUGGCCAAACAUGGUUGCAACGGGUAACGGAGGGUUAGGGCUCGACCCCGGAGAAGGAGCCUGAGAAACGGCUACUACAUCCAAGGAAGGCAGCAGGCGCGCAAAUUACCCAAUCCCGACUCGGGGAGGUAGUGACAAUAAAUACUGAUACAGGGCCCUUUCGGGCCUUGUAAUUGGAAUGAGUACAAUUUAAAUCCCUUAACGAGGAACAAUUGGAGGGCAAGUCUGGUGCCAGCAGCCGCGGUAAUUCCAGCUCCAAUAGCGUAUAU
This 526-nucleotide ribosomal RNA is filed under the name uncultured eukaryote. RNAcentral describes it as "SSU rRNA". It matches the Rfam family "Eukaryotic small subunit ribosomal RNA", at positions 75 to 604 of the family's 1831-position model. The record is from RNAcentral.